Molecule: ribosomal RNA, 391 nt
Filed under: uncultured bacterium
Lineage: Bacteria
Description: bacterial SSU rRNA
Rfam family: Bacterial small subunit ribosomal RNA
Source: RNAcentral
GGCCUUCGGGUUGUAAAGCCCUUUCGGCGGGGAAGAAAUCGGUCAGGCGAAUAGUCUGGCCGGAUGACGGUACCCGCAGAAGAAGCACCGGCUAACUACGUGCCAGCAGCCGCGGUAAUACGUAGGGUGCGAGCGUUAAUCGGAAUUACUGGGCGUAAAGGGUGCGCAGNCGGCCCUGUAAGACCGGUGUGAAAUCCCCGGGCUCAACCUGGGAAUUGCGCUGGUGACUGCAGGCUUAGAGUACGGUAGAGGGGGGUGGAAUUCCUGGUGUAGCAGUGAAAUGCGUAGAGAUCAGGAGGAACACCGAUGGCGAAGGCAGCCCCNUGGNCNUGUACUGACGCUCAUGCACGAAAGCGUGGGGNGCAAACAGGAUUAGAUACCCUGGUAGUCC